This 253-nucleotide ribosomal RNA is filed under the name uncultured bacterium. RNAcentral describes it as "partial 16S ribosomal RNA". It matches the Rfam family "Bacterial small subunit ribosomal RNA", at positions 524 to 776 of the family's 1533-position model. The record is from RNAcentral.
GACGAACUGUCCUAACGUUGUUCGGAUUCAUUGGGCGUAAAGGGCGCGUAGGCGGCGCGGUAAGUCGGGUGUGAAAUCUUGGAGCUUAACUCCGAAACUGCAUUCGAUACUGCCGUGCUUGAGGACUGGAGAGGAGACUGGAAUUUACGGUGUAGCGGUGAAAUGCGUAGAUAUCGGAAGGAAGACCAGUGGCGAAGGCGGGUCUCUGGGCAGUUCCUGACGCUGAGGCACGAAGGCCAGGGGAGCAAACGGG